AGAGACAAACUGUAAAUCUUUUGACAGAAACAGCUUAGAAUUGUAAUAACCUGUUUCCUGUGCAGUGAUGUAUAAAGCCUCAAUUGCUUUAGCCCUCUUACAUAUAAUCUGCCUCAGUUUUCUUCUAAUAGGAGUCAUAAAUGGAGAUACAGUAACCCAACUAGAGUCAAGCAAGACUGUAUAUGAAGGGGAUGAUGUCAUGCUGUCCUGCAAUUUUACAACAACCAGCAUCGUUGCACACUUGCAUUGGUACCAGCAGAAGUCAAAUGGACCUCUAGAAAAUCUAGGACUUUAUACAGGUACAUAUGAAAAUAAUGCAACAAAAGGACGUUUCAAAUCAAUGUAUGAAAUUUCCAAGAGUUCUACAUCUCUCAGCAUCUCAGAAGCUCAGCUCUCUGACUCAGCAGUUUACUACUGUUCAUUCAGUGACACAGUGACAAACAUCCCAACUAACAGAAUACAGAAACUGCCAAAGCAGGCAACAGGAGUGCACAACUGUCCACUGCAUCCUCACAAAUAUAUACAAGAUGCAUUCCUAAUGUGGUCUUGGGGACUUCCUUCUGUGCUGUCUCAUUAG
This is a non-coding RNA of Protopterus annectens (West African lungfish), 577 nucleotides long. Lineage: Eukaryota; Metazoa; Chordata; Ceratodontiformes; Protopteridae. The record is from the annotation of a RefSeq genome assembly.